GGGGAUGUAGCUCAAAUGGUAGAGCGCUCACUUUGCAUGCGAGAGGCACGGGCGAUCCCCCCAUCUCCA
RNAcentral lists this transfer RNA (69 nucleotides) under Capsicum annuum. It matches the Rfam family "tRNA". Rfam says of the family: Transfer RNA (tRNA) molecules are approximately 80 nucleotides in length. Their secondary structure includes four short double-helical elements and three loops (D, anti-codon, and T loops). Further hydrogen bonds mediate the characteristic L-shaped molecular structure. tRNAs have two regions of fundamental functional importance: the anti-codon, which is responsible for specific mRNA codon recognition, and the 3' end, to which the tRNAs corresponding amino acid is attached (by aminoacyl-tRNA synthetases). tRNAs cope with the degeneracy of the genetic code in two manners: having more than one tRNA (with a specific anti-codon) for a particular amino acid; and 'wobble' base-pairing, i.e. permitting non-standard base-pairing at the 3rd anti-codon position. The record is from Rfam by way of RNAcentral. Lineage: Eukaryota; Viridiplantae; Streptophyta; Magnoliopsida; Solanales; Solanaceae.